This 347-nucleotide long non-coding RNA is filed under the name Carica papaya (papaya). RNAcentral describes it as "long non-coding RNA (CPAP_LNC015845)". The record is from RNAcentral. Lineage: Eukaryota; Viridiplantae; Streptophyta; Magnoliopsida; Brassicales; Caricaceae.
UGUUGAGUCAUGUAAGAGAGUGAUAUUGAAGUACACCAACUACUGUCUGGUAAUCAAAGGCAUCAAUGAUCAUGGUAUCAUAAUUAUAUUGAAGAAAGAUAGUGGUCGAUAGUGAAGGAGAUACUUCUUUGUCUCCAUGCAUGUAAUGAUGUUUGGAAUAGGAAGAUAUCUUGGUUAGUGAGAGUUAUUGCAAGACUGAAAUAGUACUGAAGGUUGUCAAAUCCUUUAGAGAGAAUUGACGGGCCCUCUUGCUUUCUGCCAGAAAAUGUUCAUAAUUGCCGAUCACAAGAAGGUUAUCAACACAGACAUGGAAGUACAUGACAAUCUUCUUGUGAGAGUAGGUAAAA